This 704-nucleotide ribosomal RNA is filed under the name Mermithidae sp. KPMN_1RH. RNAcentral describes it as "SSU rRNA". It matches the Rfam family "Eukaryotic small subunit ribosomal RNA", at positions 127 to 824 of the family's 1831-position model. Lineage: Eukaryota; Metazoa; Nematoda; Enoplea; Mermithida; Mermithidae. The record is from RNAcentral.
CUAGUAAUCUACUUGGAUAACUGUGGUAAUUCUAGAGCUAAUACAUGCACGAAAGCUCGCACCUUGCGGAAAGAGCGCAUUUAUUAGAUCAAAACCAAUCGGGCCCCUUGCUGGGCCCGACGUUUUGGUGACUCUGAAUAACUCAGUUGAUCGCAUGGUCAUUUUGUACCGGCGACGUAUCUUUCAAAUGUCUGCCUUAUCAACUUUCGAUGGUAGGUUAUAUGCCUACCAUGGUGAUAACGGGUAACGGAGAAUAAGGGUUCGACUCCGGAGAGGGAGCCUGAGAAAUGGCUACCACAUCCAAGGAAGGCAGCAGGCGCGCAAAUUACCCAAUUCCAGUACGGAGAGGUAGUGACGAAAAAUAACGAGAUAGUCCACUUAUGUGGCCUGUCAUCGGAAUGGGAACAAUUUAAAUCCUUUAUCGAGGAUCUAUUAGAGGGCAAGUCUGGUGCCAGCAGCCGCGGUAAUUCCAGCUCUAAUAGCGUAUACUAAAGUUGUUGUGGUUAAAACGCCCGUAGUUGAUUUUUCGGCUUGGCACGACGGUGGCUCGAAAGAGUGUGACUGUUGUUGCAAGUCUGAUUUUGGGUUUGCGGCCGGUGCCCUUCACCGGGUGUCGGCUGUGACUCGAACGUUUACUUUGAAAAAAUUAGAGUGCUCAAAGCAGGCCAGUGUGCUUGAAUUCUGGUGCAUGGGAUAAUGGAAUA